This 2320-nucleotide long non-coding RNA is filed under the name Sus scrofa (pig). RNAcentral's name for it is "lncRNA (ENSSSCG00055030331.1)". Lineage: Eukaryota; Metazoa; Chordata; Mammalia; Artiodactyla; Suidae. The record is from RNAcentral.
GUCAAUGUCCUAGUUGUGUAAACAUAUAUAGUCAUCACUAAAUAGAUGCCUCUCCAUUACAAAGUCAACAAAGAACAAUUUUUUUUUAAAGCCCCCACUUCCUCCCCAGGAAACAGUGUAUGUUCAGAGAGGAAGCUGUCUUCCUGUUUUCUCCAUACUCGCACUUUUGCAAGGUUUUUGUCUAAGCUUCCAAACUCAGAGUCUCCAUCACAUGGAACAAGCUCUUCUAAACAAUUGGCCACAUUUUACAGCAGGGAAAUAAAAAAAAAAAAAAAAGAAAGUUUUAUUUCCCACAAAACAUGAAAAAGUAUUAUUAGCCUAAAUUGUCAUUGACUAUAUAUUCUUAAAUUCCAUAUUCCACCCCAAUCUCCAUCUCAUUCGAUGUAUACUGAGGGCACUAAAUUGUGGUUAUUCUGUCAAAAUUCUUUGCAAAAUGCAUCAACUCUUAGAAUCCCAAUGACAAAAGAAACUUGACAGGGCACCUGCUUUUUAUUAUUUUUGUAUUUUGUGAUACAAACCCGGUGUGCCUGGCACCCAAGAAUAAAGUAUAAUUCAAGAACGUUUUGUACAUUCUGCUCUAAAAUUUUAGCAUUUCAACAAUGAUUUCUGGAGCUAUUAAAAAGAACCAUUUGGAAAUAAAGCCAUUGCCCCCUUUUUUUCUGAGUUUUUAAAAUCAGUUAAGGAGCUUUUAUUUCACCCAGUGAUACUGAAGCAAUAAAUUCUCAGAUAAACCAGAGAAUUAAGGCAGGGCUCGAUUGAGAGGAUAUUUUCAGUGAGAUGAAUUUUGAGUUUGGUAACUUUUCAGUUUAUCUCUUUUACUCUUGCUUUUACAUCCCCAGUUUGUGAAUUCAUCAAGUCAAGGUUUUCAGUGUUGUCCAGAAGAUCGUCUAAAUCCAAAUCAUCAAAGUGCUUGUUAAAAUGCAGAUUCUUGACUCUCGGCCAGAUCUAAGACAUCAGAAUUGGGCCUGGGAAUCUGCAUUGUUGCAGCUGCCCAGUUUGACUACUUAAGGGUGUGAUAAAGACAUAAGGGCUUAUCUCUCUCAGGGGUAUUUACUUGUUAAUAGCAACCAAAGACUUGAAAACCUUUAAAAUCUAUAACUUUUUUCUCCUUAGGGGCCAGAUUUUUUUUUUUUUUUUUUUUUUUUUGGCUGUGCCCAUGGCAUGUGGAAGUUCCCAGGCCAGGAAUUGAAUCUGCACCACAGCAGCGACCCAAGCCACUGCAGUGACAACACAGGAUCCUUAACCUGGUGCAUUGCAAAAGAACUCCUGUGGGCAAAAUCUUUGGGGCCUAUAUAGCAGACUGUGAUGGGUAAAUAUUCUGAGAGUGAUUAACCUGGGAAAAAGCAUUAUAAAAUCUGAAGGCUCUUUUACUUGUGAUUAUUUUGAGUACAUUUACACUUCAACAGUACCCACAAAACUUACUAUUAGUUUUUAAAUUACCCUCCACAUUAUGUAACAGAACCACAGUAUUUUAAGAAUAUAUCAAUUCCUGAUAACUGUCCAGUUUGAAAGAAAUAAUUCUUCUUAUAUUUCUAGCUCCAAGAAAUACCAACAAGCAUACUUUAUAGUAAAUGUUCAAGACUUUACUAGAAAAGCAGAUUUUAAAGCAAACUGAUGGGUCAGAUUUAGACAACCAAUAGUUAACUACACCUAACUUUGAUGAUUCUCAAUGCUGACUAAAGCAUGUACCAAAUGCCUUAUUGUUUUAGAUGCAUCAAAACAAUUUAUACAAAUUUAUCAAAUGAUUUAUCAAUUAUUUAUAAAUUAAUACAGCGUCAAGACGAUUAAAAGGCAUUCAUUCACUUAACACAGACCGACCAUUUAGACUUAUAAUGAAAUAGCUCUAAAACAGGGUGUUUGUUGUGUCCACCUACAAGCCAUUCAGCCUUUUUAAGACUCAAUUUACUCACCUGUAUCAGCAGUAGUGAAAGGAACUGAGUCAAAGGGAUAUUGGGAGGAUUAAGUGAUAAAUGUACUUAGCACAGCCUCUACAGUAAGUGCCCAAUAAAUGUCCAUUAUUAUAAUUAUUUUCCUUGCUUUUUUAUCUCCAGGCACCAUGUUAGACAAUACGACAAACCAGAAUACUGUUAUAAAACCAGCAUAUCAUUCAACUCCUAACACUAUCUUGUACACUGCAGCAUGUCAAUAUAAUUGGCUUCUUCUUUUUCUUUUUUUUUCUUUUUUUUUUGUAUUUUUAGGGCCGCAGCUGCUGCAUGUGGAAGUUCCCAGGCUAGGAGCUGAAUUGGAACUACAGCCGCUGGUCACCACAGCCACAGCAAUGCCAGAUCCUCAAACCCACUGAGCGAGGCCAGGGACCGAA